AACAAUGGCAGCCGUGAAGACAAAAUUUUACAAUAUCGGAUCCGAUUCCGGAAGCGGAUAAGGGUAAUUCCGGGUUUUGGCGAUCAACUACAAAAAAAUCAAGACAGGUGACAAAAUACAUCUAUGCAUGGUAAAUGAAUAUAAACACUAGAAUUGAAAACCAAAAGAUAUAUGUAAAAGAAAGAAAAAAUAGAAAAUAUUUUAUACUGAAA
Molecule: long non-coding RNA, 212 nt
Filed under: Mytilus galloprovincialis (Mediterranean mussel)
Lineage: Eukaryota; Metazoa; Mollusca; Bivalvia; Mytilida; Mytilidae
Source: RNAcentral